UACGUAGGGGGCAAGCGUUGUCCGGAUUUAUUGGGCGUAAAGAGCGUGUAGGCGGCCAGAUAGGUCAGCUGUGAAAACUCGAGGCUCAACCUCGAGACGUCGGUUGAAACCAUCUGGCUAGAGUCCGGAAGAGGAGAGUGGAAUUCCCGGUGUAGCGGUGAAAUGCGCAGAUAUCGUGAGGAAGACCAGUGGCGAAGGCGAAUCUCUGGACAGAUCCUGACGCUGAGGCACGAAGGCUAGGGGAGCAAACGGG
RNAcentral lists this ribosomal RNA (253 nucleotides) under uncultured bacterium. RNAcentral's name for it is "partial 16S ribosomal RNA". It matches the Rfam family "Bacterial small subunit ribosomal RNA", at positions 524 to 776 of the family's 1533-position model. The record is from RNAcentral.